RNAcentral lists this ribosomal RNA (250 nucleotides) under uncultured prokaryote. Its description in RNAcentral is "partial 16S ribosomal RNA". It matches the Rfam family "Bacterial small subunit ribosomal RNA", at positions 524 to 773 of the family's 1533-position model. The record is from RNAcentral.
UACGGAGGAUGCGAGCGUUAUCCGGAUUUAUUGGGUUUAAAGGGAGCGUAGGUGGGAUAUUAAGUCAGCUGUGAAAGUUUGGGGCUCAACCUUAAAAUUGCAGUUGAUACUGGUUUCCUUGAGUACGGUACAGGUGGGCGGAAUUCGUGGUGUAGCGGUGAAAUGCUUAGAUAUCACGAAGAACUCCGAUCGCGAAGGCAGCUCACCGGGCCGGAACUGACACUGAUGCUCGAAAGUGCGGGUAUCAAAC